GUUGCCUGGAAUUAUUUCGUCGGAGAAUCAGGAUUCGAUGCGGAUGGAAAUGGAAUCAGCCGCUAAGCGGCAGAGAUAGAAAGAGAGAGAGAGAGAGAGAACGAGAUGGUGGAGGCGGUGGGAAGAAGCUGGAGGAUGGCGGUGGCGGUGUGGUGUUGGGAAGAAACUGUGGCCGGUGGUGGAGUCCCGUGUAGAUAAACCGUCUGCCAUCAAUCUGAGGCAUGGUGGCGGCGGUGUGAACAAGCUGAUGAUAGAACGGUGGAUGUGAAAGUGAAGCUGAAGUAGGUGUCCGACAAGCGAAAUACAUAAUACAUCGUCAAGAAUCUGCCUCCCUUUGACCUCCGUGGGUUGCCGCGGCUGGCCGCAAGGGUGUCGCCGGAAAAACCACAGCCACAUUUUGUCAUAGUUAUAACUAGAUGUAGCUUGGUAUAUGUGAAAUUAGUGUUGAUAGUUAAAACUAAAAGAAAACAAAGUGGAGAAACCGAUGGUAUAUACUUCAAUAGAUGCUUCUUUCAUGUGGGUUUAGUGGUGGAUAAAGAUCUAUUGUACCUGUUUGUUUGUUUGCUUGCUUGCUAAGGUCAUAGCCUCUUUGGGUUGUUUAAAAAAGUUUCCUUUCUGUUUUUGUAACUGUAUAUUCGAUUAAUAUUGUUUAAUAUAAUCUUGCAAUUUGGAGUUGAAGGCUGUGAAUUGUUAUCCCCUUAGUCUGUAAAUAUGCAAACCAAUCAUUUGAAACGAAAAGAAAAGUUGAGUCUAUUCUUUGCCAACUCAAAAUGCGAUGCAACUGAGUCUAUGUUGCGGCACCCGCCACAACGCGCCGGAUGA
RNAcentral lists this long non-coding RNA (822 nucleotides) under Helianthus annuus (common sunflower). RNAcentral's name for it is "hypothetical non coding rna". The record is from RNAcentral. Lineage: Eukaryota; Viridiplantae; Streptophyta; Magnoliopsida; Asterales; Asteraceae.